AACGAACGCUGGCGGCAGGCUUAACACAUGCAAGUUGAACGCGUGUAGCAAUACACGAGUAGCGCACGGGUGCGUAACGCGUGGGAACCUUCCUCGUAGUUCGGAAUAACUCAGGGAAACUUGAGCUAAUACCGAAUGCCUCCUCCGGGAGAAAGAUUUAUCGCUACGAGAUGGGCCCGCGUCAGAUUAGGUAGUUGGUAGGGUAACGGCCUACCAAGCCGACGAUCUGUAGCUGGUCUGAGAGGAUGAUCAGCCACACUGGGACUGAGACACGGCCCAGACUCCUACGGGAGGCAGCAGUGGGGAAUAUUGGACAAUGGGGGCAACCCUGAUCCAGCCAUGCCGCGUGAGUGAAGAAGGCCUUCGGGUUGUAAAGCUCUUUCGACGGGGACGAUGAUGACGGUACCCGUAUAAGAAGCCCCGGCUAACUUCGUGCCAGCAGCCGCCGUAA
This 451-nucleotide ribosomal RNA is filed under the name uncultured bacterium. Its description in RNAcentral is "partial 16S ribosomal RNA". It matches the Rfam family "Bacterial small subunit ribosomal RNA", at positions 29 to 523 of the family's 1533-position model. The record is from RNAcentral.